RNA transcript from Fragaria vesca subsp. vesca, 669 nucleotides. RefSeq lists it as uncharacterized. The record is from RefSeq and is a predicted model, not a curated record. Lineage: Eukaryota; Viridiplantae; Streptophyta; Magnoliopsida; Rosales; Rosaceae. The transcript has 4 exons.
UUCUGGACUUCUCUCCACCGCCUGUCGACUUCACAAUCGCCGAUCUGGAAGUUCUCCGUUCGGCACGAAUCGACGGCGGUUCCCCGGCGUUUGAAUCAUCUCGACGUUGCCUUCACCUCUCCGAGCUUGGUUUUGAUCGUUAGUGGGUUUUGGAGGAAGGACCGAUGCAUGGAGCAAAGUCUGCUCCGAUGGUUUUGCGGGGUUCCUGACAACUACGGCGGCAAUUGAGCUGCCUAUGCGACUCUGGCGACCUUCUCGACGACUCUUGCUUUGGAUUUCUGUGACGGCUGCGUCUGUGUGAGUGGAAGUUGGGAGCCUGCGUGUAGCAGUCAUCGAAUCAAUUUGUUUAAUUCUCCACAUCUGGAUUUUUCGUGAAGUGGUGGACAUGGAGAGCAAAGGGAGAAUGCGUUCAGUUUUGUGGCUGUGUUCUUCUUGGGUGCAUAUAUCAAGUUUGAGUUGCAACGUUGGUUUAGGUAGUCUCAAGAGAUCAAUUUCGGUGACGAAGUGUUGUUUCCAGAAUCAAGGAAGCUUUCAGUUGUUGCCGAGCCUCACUAUGAAAUGCAGAGAUCAAGGCUUAGAGUUGGGCCAUGGUGGAAUUAAUCAUUAAGACAUUAGGGACUCCAGUUACCCGAGGAGCGAAAUGCUCGUGAUUCUUAAAGUUCGUAAGGA